GACGAACGCUGGCGGCGUGCUUAACACAUGCAAGUCGAACGGAAAGGCCUGCUUUCCCUUGUGGAUUGCGGGUACUCGAGUGGCGAACGGGUGAGUAACACGUGAGUGAUCUGCCCCCAACUUGGGUAUAAGCCUGGGAAACUGGGUCUAAUUCCCGAUAGGACUGCAGGGUAGUGCCUGUGGUGGAAAACGAUUUUCUAGUGGUUGGGGAUGAGCUCGCGGCCUAUCAGCUUGUUGGUGGGGUAAUGGCCUACCAAGGCGGCGACGGGUAGCCGGCCUGAGAGGGUGGACGGCCACAUUGGGACUGAGAUACGGCCCAGACUCCUACGGGAGGCAGCAGUGGGGAAUAUUGCACAAUGGGCGGAAGCCUGAUGCAGCGACGCCGCGUGGGGGAUGACGGCCUUCGGGUUGUAAACUCCUUUCGACCGCGAGGAAGCCACCUGGUUGGAAGGGUGGUGACGGUAGUGGUAGAAGAAGCACCGGCUAACUACGUG
RNAcentral lists this ribosomal RNA (494 nucleotides) under uncultured bacterium. RNAcentral's name for it is "partial 16S ribosomal RNA". It matches the Rfam family "Bacterial small subunit ribosomal RNA", at positions 28 to 507 of the family's 1533-position model. The record is from RNAcentral.